CCAUGUGUUUAAAUCCGGAAAUUAGCUGGGAAGUAAAAGCGUGGGGUAGGCUGGUUAAGAAAAGAAAAGAUGAGCCAAUACCCAGCGACUCUAACCUUUGGAAAUUGCAUUAUUUAACUGCCUGAGGUAGAGUAUGUGAGAGGGGAGGUACAAUUCCCACGUGUAGCAGUGAAAAUGCGUAGAUAUGUGGAGGAAUACCGAUGGCGAAGGCACCCCCCCUGGGAUAAUACUGACGCUCAGACACGAUAGCGUGGGGAGCAAACAGGAUUAGAUACCCUGGUAGUCCACGCCCUAAACGAUGUCAACUAGCUGUUGGGGCCGUUAGGCCUUAGUAGCGCAGCUCACGCAUGAAGUUGACCGCGUGGGGAGUUCGGUCGCAAGAUUAAAAAUCAAAGGAAUUGGCGGGGGCCCGCACAAGCGAUGGAUGAUGUGGAUUAAUUGGAUGCAGAACGACAAUCCCUACUUUCCCCUUACAUGUCUGGAAAGCCGAAGAGAUUUGUCCGUUCUCGCAAGAGAACCCAAACACAGCAGGUGCAUGGUCAUCUUCAGUUCGGGUAGUGAGAUGUUGGUUUAAGUCCCGCAACGAGCGCAACCCUUGUCAUUAAUCGCUUCGCAAGAGCACUCUAAUGAGACUGCCGGUGACAAACCGGAGGAAGGUGGGGAUGACGUCAAGUCAUCAUGGCCCUUAUGGGUAGGGCUUCACACGUCAUACAAUGGUCGGGACAGAGGGUAGCCAACCCGCGAGGGGGAGCCAAUCUCAGAAACCCGAUCGUAGUCCGGAUCGCAGUCUGCAACUCGACUGCGUGAAGUCGGAAUCGCUAGUAAUCGCGGAUCAGAAUGUCGCGGUGAAUACGUUCCCGGGUCUUGUACACACCGCCCGUCACACCAUGGGAGUGGGUUUCACCAGAAGUAGGUAGCCUAACCGCAAGGAGGGCGCUACC
RNAcentral lists this ribosomal RNA (941 nucleotides) under Alcaligenes faecalis. RNAcentral describes it as "bacterial SSU rRNA". It matches the Rfam family "Bacterial small subunit ribosomal RNA". The record is from RNAcentral. Lineage: Bacteria; Pseudomonadati; Pseudomonadota; Betaproteobacteria; Burkholderiales; Alcaligenaceae.